RNAcentral lists this ribosomal RNA (809 nucleotides) under uncultured marine bacterium. RNAcentral's name for it is "bacterial SSU rRNA". It matches the Rfam family "Bacterial small subunit ribosomal RNA", at positions 48 to 906 of the family's 1533-position model. The record is from RNAcentral.
CCUACACAUGCAAGUCGAGCGCGCCUUCGGGUGAGCGGCGGACGGGUUAGUAACGCGUGGGACCGUACCCUUUUCUACGGAAUAGCCUUUGGAAACGAAGAGUAAUACCGUAUACGCCCUUUGGGGGGAAGAUUUAUCGGAGAAGGAUCGGCCCGCGUUAGAUUAGAUAGUUGGUGGGGUAACGGCCUACCAAGUCUACGAUCUAUAGCUGGUUUUAGAGGAUGAUCAGCAACACUGGGACUGAGACACGGCCCAGACUCCUACGGGAGGCAGCAGUGGGGAAUCUUAGACAAUGGGCGCAAGCCUGAUCUAGCCAUGCCGCGUGAGUGAUGAAGGCCUUAGGGUCGUAAAGCUCUUUCGCCUGUGAUGAUAAUGACAGUAGCAGGUAAAGAAACCCCGGCUAACUCCGUGCCAGCAGCCGCGGUAAUACGGAGGGGGUUAGCGUUGUUCGGAAUUACUGGGCGCAAAGCGCACGUAGGCGGAUUGGAAAGUUGGGGGUGAAAUCCCGGGGCUCAACCCCGGAACUGCCUCCAAAACUAUCAGUCUAGAGUUCGAGAGAGGUGAGAGGAAUUCCAAGUGUGGAGGUGAAAUUCGUAGAUAUUUGGAGGAACACCAGUGGCGAAGGCGGCUCACUGGCUCGAUACUGACGCUGAGGUGCGAAAGUGUGGGGAGCAAACAGGAUUAGAUACCCUGGUAGUCCACACCGUAAACGAUGAAUGCCAGUCGUCGGGCAGUAUACUGUUCGGUGACACACCUAACGGAUUAAGCAUUCCGCCUGGGGAGUACGGUCGCAAGAUUAAAACUCAAAG